RNAcentral lists this ribosomal RNA (238 nucleotides) under Escherichia coli. RNAcentral's name for it is "partial 23S ribosomal RNA". It matches the Rfam family "Bacterial large subunit ribosomal RNA", at positions 1124 to 1360 of the family's 2925-position model. Lineage: Bacteria; Pseudomonadati; Pseudomonadota; Gammaproteobacteria; Enterobacterales; Enterobacteriaceae. The record is from RNAcentral.
UAAAGAAAGCGUAAUAGCUCACUGGUCGAGUCGGCCUGCGCGGAAGAUGUAACGGGGCUAAACCAUGCACCGAAGCUGCGGCAGCGACGCUUAUGCGUUGUUGGGUAGGGGAGCGUUCUGUAAGCCUGUGAAGGUGUGCUGUGAGGCAUGCUGGAGGUAUCAGAAGUGCGAAUGCUGACAUAAGUAACGAUAAAGCGGGUGAAAAGCCCGCUCGCCGGAAGACCAAGGGUUCCUGUCC